AGUGGUUCUCGGGUGAUGCAACCGAAAUCGAGCUCCCUCCUCUCUGGUUCUGGGAUGCGUCACCCAAGAACUGCC
Myotis brandtii (Brandt's bat) is the source of this 75-nucleotide non-coding RNA. Lineage: Eukaryota; Metazoa; Chordata; Mammalia; Chiroptera; Vespertilionidae. The record is from Rfam.